Hordeum vulgare subsp. vulgare (domesticated barley) is the source of this 676-nucleotide long non-coding RNA. RefSeq lists it as uncharacterized. The record is from RefSeq and is a predicted model, not a curated record. Lineage: Eukaryota; Viridiplantae; Streptophyta; Magnoliopsida; Poales; Poaceae. The transcript has 3 exons.
CUGCAAUGUAUGGUGAUGGUGAUGGUGAUGGUGAUGCAUGCGCGUGAAGGCAGGGCGACAGGAGGGGGACAACUCCCAGCAAUACUUUUGUGUUAACAGAACCAAGAUGCAGCAGCAUGCCAAUGCCAUGAUGAAGACGGGAGGUUAGGAGGUAGGUUGGGUGGUGGUCCUCGCAUUGCAUUGCCUUUUUCUACUGCUGCACGGAGCUCAACUGGUUGGUCCUAUUUACGAUUUGAUUUCAAAAGAUGAAGCAAUUCUUUUGGGACAACGGUCGAUGGAAGGGCGGCAACUCUCCCUGCCCCUGGGGGUCAUAAGAAAGUUUCCCCAGAAAAAAAUGGGGGGAUGGACUCUACCUACUAGUGCUGAGACUAGGCUCUUCCUCGGCUCAUGUACGUAUUAGUUAGCCUGUUGAUUUCACCAAGGUGGUGCCGUACCAGAUUAAGAAAACGCUCAACUUGACACAUGGACGGUGUGGACAUAUGCUUCAGUAAAAAGAGUACAGUUUGCAAGACUGUUAUUACUACUAAUUUGGCGGGCGGGAGGAACGUCAGAGCACUGUCGUAAAGAGACCGCAUGCAGCGUUGCAGCAACCAUGAUCGACCUGUAGAUAAUCAUGUAUUGUAAUGCGUUUUCUUCAGAGGCACGAAAUCCCCUAUCAUUACUUACCAACGACUUC